RNAcentral lists this ribosomal RNA (1263 nucleotides) under Microbacterium sp. Its description in RNAcentral is "bacterial SSU rRNA". The record is from RNAcentral. Lineage: Bacteria; Bacillati; Actinomycetota; Actinomycetes; Micrococcales; Microbacteriaceae.
GCUUAACACAUGCAAGUCGAACGRUGAAGCCGAGGCUUGCUCUGGUGGAUUAGUGGCGAACGGGUGAGUAACACGUGAGCAACCUGCCCCGGACUCUGGGAUAAGCGCUGGAAACGGCGUCUAAUACUGGAUACGAGACGUGACCGCAUGGUCAACGUUUGGAAAGAUUUUUCGGUCUGGGAUGGGCUCGCGGCCUAUCAGCUUGUUGGUGAGGUAAUGGCUCACCAAGGCGUCGACGGGUAGCCGGCCUGAGAGGGUGACCGGCCACACUGGGACUGAGACACGGCCCAGACUCCUACGGGAGGCAGCAGUGGGGAAUAUUGCACAAUGGGCGGAAGCCUGAUGCAGCAACGCCGCGUGAGGGAUGACGGCCUUCGGGUUGUAAACCUCUUUUAGCAGGGAAGAAGCGAAAGUGACGGUACCUGCAGAAAAAGCGCCGGCUAACUACGUGCCAGCAGCCGCGGUAAUACGUAGGGCGCAAGCGUUAUCCGGAAUUAUUGGGCGUAAAGAGCUCGUAGGCGGUCUGUCGCGUCUGCUGUGAAAUCCCGAGGCUCAACCUCGGGCCUGCAGUGGGUACGGGCAGACUAGAGUGCGGUAGGGGAGAUUGGAAUUCCUGGUGUAGCGGUGGAAUGCGCAGAUAUCAGGAGGAACACCGAUGGCGAAGGCAGAUCUCUGGGCCGUAACUGACGCUGAGGAGCGAAAGGGUGGGGAGCAAACAGGCUUAGAUACCCUGGUAGUCCACCCCGUAAACGUUGGGAACUAGUUGUGGGGUCCUUUCCACGGAUUCCGUGACGCAGCUAACGCAUUAAGUUCCCCGCCUGGGGAGUACGGCCGCAAGGCUAAAACUCAAAGGAAUUGACGGGGACCCGCACAAGCGGCGGAGCAUGCGGAUUAAUUCGAUGCAACGCGAAGAACCUUACCAAGGCUUGACAUACACGAGAACGGKCCAGAAAUGKWCAACUCUUUGGACACUCGUGAACAGGUGGUGCAUGGUUGUCGUCAGCUCGUGUCGUGAGAUGUUGGGUUAAGUCCCGCAACGAGCGCAACCCUCGUUCUAUGUUGCCAGCACGUUAUGGUGGGAACUCAUGGGAUACUGCCGGGGUCAACUCGGAGGAAGGUGGGGAUGACGUCAAAUCAUCAUGCCCCUUAUGUCUUGGGCUUCACGCAUGCUACAAUGGCCGGUACAAAGGGCUGCAAUACCGUGAGGUGGAGCGAAUCCCAAAAAGCCGGUCCCAGUUCGGAUUGAGGUCUGCAACUCGACCU